CACGUCAUAAUGUGUGCUGUAAAAAGUCAAUUUUUUACUAGUGUUAGAAAAACUAUAAUUUUUCGUCCUUCAAAACAAACGCCAUUAAAAAUAGCCUGAGUUGGCUAACGUCUGACCACCUAUGAUGAAAUGUUUCAUUGCUAACGUUUGCCAUGUGUGAUUACAGGUUUGAUAACAUUUUCUCUUCAUAGUUACCAUGGCUAAUGACCCUUCUCCCUCUCUCCACCUCGGCCUUUACCCUUGACACCCCUACCUUUGCCUCGACCUUCGAAUUUGACCCCGCCACUUCUCCAAAAAGUCUCUCAUCCUCGUUCUCUCUGUUUACAACGGUCCAAUAGGUCGUUUCUAUUGGGUGUGCGGCG
This 362-nucleotide long non-coding RNA is filed under the name Vigna radiata. RNAcentral's name for it is "long non-coding RNA (VRAD_LNC015361)". The record is from RNAcentral. Lineage: Eukaryota; Viridiplantae; Streptophyta; Magnoliopsida; Fabales; Fabaceae.